GCAAGGAAUUUUCGGCAAUGGGCGCAAGCCUGACCGAGCAACGCCGCGUGCGGGAUGACGGCCUUCGGGUUGUAAACCGCUUUUCGGGGGGACGAUGAUGACGGUACCCCCGGAAUAAGCCCCGGCUAACUCUGUGCCAGCAGCCGCGGUAAGACAGAGGGGGCCAGCGUUGUCCGGAGUUACUGGGCGUAAAGCGCACGCAGGCGGCGGCUUAAGUGUCGUGUGAAAGCUCCCGGCUCAACCGGGAGAGGCCAUGGCAGACUGGGUCGCUGGAGCGCCGGAGAGGUCUCUCGAAUCGCCGGUGUAGUGGUGAAAUGCGUAGAGAUCGGCGGGAAGACCAAGGGGGAAGCCAGGAGACUGGCCGGCCGCUGACGCUGAGGUGCGACGGCGUGGGGAGCAAACCGGAUUAGAAACCCGGGUAGUCC
This 425-nucleotide ribosomal RNA is filed under the name uncultured bacterium. RNAcentral describes it as "bacterial SSU rRNA". It matches the Rfam family "Bacterial small subunit ribosomal RNA", at positions 354 to 796 of the family's 1533-position model. The record is from RNAcentral.